Acipenser ruthenus (sterlet) is the source of this 4723-nucleotide long non-coding RNA. RefSeq lists it as uncharacterized. The record is from RefSeq and is a predicted model, not a curated record. The transcript is spliced from 3 exons. Lineage: Eukaryota; Metazoa; Chordata; Actinopteri; Acipenseriformes; Acipenseridae.
CGAGACUUGCUUUUCCUGUUAUUCCUUCCACAUGGAGAGUCUGCACGAGACUUCAUAAAUACACAUCUACCAGAUGAUAUGAGGAAGAAAUGAGAAGGAUCACACAAGCACCAAAACCACGGGGAUAAGACUGAGGCACGCCCCGUAGCAAGAUCGGGUGACUGCCGAAUGUCUUUAUCCAUCAUCACAACAUCCGCUGUCAACACCGACCCCAUCUAGUCUGGGGGAACUAAGUACAGCAAUACCGAGACAGCAACAGCGACGUCGGAGCAGCACCAGGGUGGCAUCGGAGUGGCACUGGAAUAAUGUGAAAUAAAUAGGAUUGAAUCCUAUUUUUUGCGAUUUGAUGCGCGUCAGCUAGGGCAUUGAGCAAUCAGAGAAGAGCUUCAAUGCACGCGGUCCAGCAGGGUGAAGCAGCGUCCAGAAUGACGGAGGAAACAAUAAUACUUGCCAUUGAAAAAAUACCCAGAGCUGUAGGACAAAGGGCAUCACAAUUAUAAAGAUACAGAUUUGAAAGACAAUAUAUGGGAGUCAAUUUCAAAGGAACUGGAUAAGCCUGAGUUAUUGUCAUAUGUGUUGAAAUACAGUCAGAGAAGACACUCUGAAAUACCGUCGGAGAAGACACUCAUAAUUACUACAUCAUGUUGACGAAUAUGUACCAGUCUUGAUCAUAGUUUUGUCAAUAGCAAUCUUGAACAGUUGUAUAGAUCUGGCAGUUUUGAAACCUGUGGCAUCGCCUCUGUGUCACUUCUGGUGUGUAUGGUCAUGUCACUGCGAAAGUGUCUUGUCGCCAAUUAAAAAAUCGCAUCGCAUCUGGUGUGUGGAGACCUUUAAGGAUGUAAUGAAAAAUUGGAAACUAAAUAACAUGAAUCAACAGAAAUAAGAGAAUUGUUUAAUUUUGCUUACCAUUUUUGUGCUACCUUUAAUUAUGUUGAUAUUGAAAAAAAUACUUUUGAUACUUUUUUUUUUACAUUUCCCUGUCAGAUUACAAUCUUGGGAUUGUGAUCAGUUUUUGUACAAAGUGGGGCUCUGCUGUAGUGCAGCUCAGGGCACCAUUCUUCUUUCAGUUUUGAGAGUGGUGAAUCUGAUCUUACUCAUAGUUGUUUAUGGAAAUCCUAGCCAACAGCCUUUCUAAUCUCUCCCAGAAUACUCCCUCUGGUCAUCUGUUGCAAAGCUUUAACUGAGAACCUUUUAUUUGCAAGCUCAACAGCUUUCCCAGCGAAUGCACACAUACAGGACACAUGUAUAUCUGAAGCUGCACAGGGUUAAUAACUAUAUUAAAUAAUAAUACCGUCCAGACAAGUGCUUUUAAACUAUUGAAUGUAAUAUAUUACUUAUGUAUUUGAUUUCUCUCAUGUUUAAACAUGUUGAAGUACAGGUUAUUUUAUCAGUUCACAAGUGUUUUUUUUGACUAAAAAGUGCAUCCCAUAAAAAAACAACACACAACCAUAUAUUCUUUGUAUGCAACUCUAGAACUGUAAGUGUAACAAGACGGAAGCUGGGUGCGAACCAGUGACCACCACACACUGCAAGUGGGUGUCUUAAUCAAUGCUCAUAUGAGAAUUCAUAACAGGUUUCCAGAAGUGUCAUGAUUUAUGUAUUCCUGACAUGGGUUUCCCUGUACUAAAUGGCUUAGGAUAAGUAUCCUGUUGGAAUGUGAUUCUCCUGUUUUUGAAUUCAUUCUCUCUCUCUCUCUCUCUCUCUCUCUCUCUCUCUCUCUCUCUCUCUCUCUCUCUCGUGAGAAAGUGUAGUCCUGGGGAGCAAAGUAAGCAAAGGACUACACCUCCCAGAAGGUCACAAGCUGAAAAGCCUUAAUUUCUUUAAUUGUUUUAUUAGUAAUUAUCCCCUGCACCUGGCUAUCAUUGUAAAUUAGAGCCAGGUGCAGAGUCUGUUCUGGGUUGUUGUGUGAAGGAGCCGGAUUGAAUGAGUGCGCAAUCGUAUGAGAAAAGGUAUCGUGUGAAGCCUUUUUUGUGAUUUGUUAAAAAACUGUGUUUUGUACAGUAGCCAGCAAACAGCGUAGCUGUCCGGCGACAGUUAGGUUCCUGACUUGUGUUUAGUCAGCGCUCCAAAACGGAGUUAGGUUUUGUUUUCGUUUUAGUUAUUUUGUUUAUUAAAAAUAACGCGUAAGUGCUUCAAACUCAAGUUCAGUGUCUGGGUCUGCAUUUAAAGGGGCAACGAACUGUGGAGAGAAAGCUCUGGUUUUACUAAUAUAUAAUAUAUAAUUGAAAGGUCCCUCUGUAUGUCCCCAAUUACAAAAGUAUUGGUACCUCUGCUUUAGUAUUUUGUGUGUCCUCUUUUGCUUUUGUUGUGUCUUUCAGAUAAAUAUAUAUAUAUAAUAUAUGUAGGCAAUUUAUUUUAUUUCCUCCCAAUUUGGCAUAUCUAAUUAUUUUUAGGCUCAACUCACCGCUACCACCCCCCGCGCUUACUUGGGAGCGGUGAAGACAAGCACACGCUGUCCUCCGAAGCGUGUGCCAUCACCCAACUGGGUGGGGCUCAGCCAAUUGUGCACCGCCCCCUGGGACCUCCCAUCUAUGGUUGGCAAUAAAAUAGCCUGGAUUCAAACCAUCAACAUCCAAGCUAUAGGGCGCAUCCUGCAUCCCACUCGCAGUGCCUUUACCAGAUGCGCCACUCGGGAGCCCCCAUGUUUAAGAGAAUUCUUAACCAGUAUGUUACAUCUUGUUGGUGAAACUGCCUAUGAGCAGAUUGUAUCAUUGUACUUUGUAGAACGUUCUGAUAUAUGGCUGUAUUUAUUCGAUCUUCAAUUACAUCUAUGUCUCCAGUCUUGGCUUAUUUAAGACCAUUUGUUUCAUGAAGUUUCUUUUAAAAGUAGUUUGCAGUGAGCUCUACAUGCAUACAACUCUUCUGUGUUCAGGUGCCUUUCUACAGCUCUUUCAUGCACUAUUAUGUCUGAUGCUUCUAAGUCCUUGACUUUUAAUCUUGGAUUUCUUUUAGCUGCUCAGAUGAUUCUCCUGCCUGCUGUACCCAUAAUUUUCUUUGGACGUCCACUUCUUUAAAGCAUUUUAGUUGAAUUUGUUCUGUGGCACUUCUUGAUUAUUGUUCGAAUUGUGGAUUUUGGUAUUCCAUUGUUCUUUGAUAGUGUUCUGUAGCCAUUUCCUUUGUUGACCAUCAUUUGCUGUGUUGCCAAAAUGUUCUUCAACAGAUGUUUCAAUUAUUCAUGAAAUUACCUCUUUUUUUGGCUAUUGACUAUAAUGCAGCUUAAUUACUAUAAUAGUUUUGAAUCAAUUUUAAUAUAGUUAGUUAAUUAGUUAAAUACACUUUUUACAGACUUUUUAUGUUAAGGUGCCAGUACUUUUGUCAUGAACAAAUUUGAAAUUGCUGGUGCUUUUUAUGUAAAGAUUGUUCGUUAAACUACCAGAAAUGUUAUAAUUUGGUCUUUACAUAUUUAUUGGCAUAUAAUGCCCCCUAAGUGCUAGUAUUUAACAUGUUUCAUGAAUUAUCAUAUACAGUGUGAAGUGUCAGGUGCUAUGGUAGGGUAGCGCUGGUCAGCAGCGUGAAAGUAGACACAGAAGCAGGAUACUGCAGUUUAGCACAAAUGCACACUUAAAAAUGCACACUAUUAACUCAAAAACAAACAAAUCAAAAUACAAAUCGAGACCAACACCCAAGCAGAGCUGUCGCAGUAUUGUGCAGGGAGCACAACCUGCUGCUUUGCUUCCCUUCCCAUCCCUAAACAUGCUAACCAAGGAUCUGGCUCCUCUUUUAGCCAGGUAGCCAUCCCCAAAUUGGCAAUCAAUGAACCAAUUUGGGAAUGGCCACAUUCCACACUUAUUUCUGCAGGGAUGGGAUAUUAACCCCAUCCCUGCCAAACUUAAAUCCUACAACAGAACUUAUUUACAUGCAGGGGCAUCCACCCUGCCACAGGUGCCAAUACUUUUGUCUGCAACUCUGUGUGUGUGUCUAUAUGUAUAAAGUUUGAGGGAUGGGGUUAAAAUCCCAUCUCUGCCAAAUCCAGGUGCAGAAUAUGGCUGGUGCUUAAUUGAAUAAUUGGUGAUUAAUUAAGCCCAGCCACAUGCUAUAUAAGAGGAACCAGCCUUUGUUUAGGAGAAGAGAUGGUUCAGUGAAGGUGUUGCCUAGACUGAACAGAGGAACAAUGAAAGAGAAGGUACCGUGCUGGCUGUAGCUCAGGUGCAGUGUUUGUUUAAGAAGUGUUUUGUUUGAAACUUGUUUUGUUCCUGUGUUCAUUUUAUUUGUUUUAUAAAUAAUAAAAGAGCACCAAGGCGCUGAAUUGCAGUUUACCAGAUCUGUGUUUGCAAUUUCUAUAUUACAUAUAUCCUUGUAAUAGUCGUAUACAUAGGUAGGUACGUGCUAAAAUAUAUUCUUGUGGUUUACAUGUUCCUCUAUCGUGACACUCUGUGGUCGGCAGCUUCAUUUAAAAGGAAACACCAACAUUAUCACUUGUGAUAUUAUGGAGGGAAUACUAAUGGCAUUCCAUCAAUUUUAAUAAUGCCAUACAUCUCUUUACAAUUUAGCAAAUGGAAUUGCAGCAGACCUUCAACAGUGUUUUAAAGUAAGUUCAUGAACUUUCAGCUGCUUCUCUCCAUGUGGUGAGUUAAUGUUUCCAGUGUGUCACGUGCGAUUAAUGCAAAGCAUCAGCUGUUUGUCACUCCUCACAGGGGUGUUUCCCACAAAUGGCAGUGAUGUAAUACUGUUGCAGCUAAAUAAAAUAUAACAGCAGCAGUUACCAUGUGAAGAAAAGUAUAUC